CUGUGUGUUUUUUAUUUGGUACAGGACCAGCUGAUUUUGUUUCUUUUUCCCUCCCCAAUCAGACGGUCUUGUUUGUAAGCCGUAUGAAGACAAAGAAAAAGAAGUUCCUGAUGAAAACCCUCCAGGGGCCCCUCCAGGUGUAUGGCUGAUAGUGAGCCUGUCUGUGAUUGUGGUGAUUGCGGUGAUUGCGGGGAUUGUGUUGUUCAUCAUCAAGACGAAAUAGCCAGGGACUCAAAUGCGGACUGAGCCUACGCCGAAUUCUGAAGGUGUCCCACUUAAUGAAAUUGUACCGAACUCCCCACAGAUAAAUUUGGAUAACCUUACGCCCCCCCCCUCCCCCCAGCAGUGAAACAAAGGUGAAGUAAAGCAUGGAUGGAUUUUUUUUAGGGAUGAAAAGAAAAACCAACGGCAAGACUGAAGAAUAUUUAAUCAAAUGAAUUUGUUAAUGUAACAUGAAAGUUUUUUCAAAGAUGUACAGAUGUUUUGAAAUGUAACACAAGAGCCUUUUCCCGAGAUGUUCUAAGUCGAUGUAUAACACAAAAGCCUUUUCCCGAGAUGUUCUAAGACGAUGUAUAACACAAGAGCCUUUUAAUGUAAUUUAGUAAUUUAAGCAUUCAAAAUGAGUAAAAUGGGGCAGGUCAACUGCUCAUUUGUACCAC
Paramormyrops kingsleyae is the source of this 659-nucleotide non-coding RNA. NCBI's taxonomy places the organism in Eukaryota, Metazoa, Chordata, Actinopteri, Osteoglossiformes, Mormyridae. The record is from RefSeq and is a predicted model, not a curated record.